Prosopis cineraria is the source of this 411-nucleotide long non-coding RNA. RefSeq lists it as uncharacterized. Lineage: Eukaryota; Viridiplantae; Streptophyta; Magnoliopsida; Fabales; Fabaceae. The transcript has 2 exons. The record is from RefSeq and is a predicted model, not a curated record.
UUUGAAUAAUUAAAUUCAAACCUAUAGUUUUUUUUAAAUAUAAUUUUGGGACUACAAUCCCAUUUUUAUAUUAUUUUUCUCUCUUCCUCUCACGUUGCUCAGCGUUUUCUCGCAAGGGGGGAUUAUUUUCUUUGUCUUCAGGAGCGAAUCCGGCCGAGAAAGCACCAGAGGUGUAAUUAUGGUGUAUGAGACACCAUCUUUUACGUUGCCUCUUAUUUUGGAUUAUACAAUGUAUCUUGUGCCAACUUAGGACAUAUCUUGUCUAUGGAGCAUGUAAACUCUAAUCCUUUUUAUUAAAUGCAUUUAUAUGUCCAAGAAGAUUAUGUCUGUCCCUUUUGAUUCAUGACCUAAUUUGAAUAACAUGCUAUGAGGAUCAUGUCUGUCCCUCAUGGUUCUAAUUGCUUUUUGAGA